This 75-nucleotide transfer RNA is filed under the name Candidatus Abawacabacteria bacterium RBG_16_42_10. RNAcentral describes it as "tRNA-Arg". It matches the Rfam family "tRNA". From Rfam's summary of the family: Transfer RNA (tRNA) molecules are approximately 80 nucleotides in length. Their secondary structure includes four short double-helical elements and three loops (D, anti-codon, and T loops). Further hydrogen bonds mediate the characteristic L-shaped molecular structure. tRNAs have two regions of fundamental functional importance: the anti-codon, which is responsible for specific mRNA codon recognition, and the 3' end, to which the tRNAs corresponding amino acid is attached (by aminoacyl-tRNA synthetases). tRNAs cope with the degeneracy of the genetic code in two manners: having more than one tRNA (with a specific anti-codon) for a particular amino acid; and 'wobble' base-pairing, i.e. permitting non-standard base-pairing at the 3rd anti-codon position. The record is from RNAcentral. Lineage: Bacteria; Candidatus Abawacaibacteriota.
GAUCCUGUAGUUCAACGGAUAGAACGAGGCACUCCUAAGGCCUAAAUAGAGGUUCAAUUCCUCUCAGGGUCACCA